Molecule: long non-coding RNA, 265 nt
Filed under: Nicotiana benthamiana
Lineage: Eukaryota; Viridiplantae; Streptophyta; Magnoliopsida; Solanales; Solanaceae
Description: long non-coding RNA (NBEN_LNC016161)
Source: RNAcentral
AACCCUCCAUAUCAGCAGGCCAAUCUGUGCUAGACAAACCAUGAAAAAACGACAAAAAUCGAGAAUCACUGGGUCGAUAGCUGGUUUAAACCCAAGAGUAAAAGGGUAUGUGUAAACGAAAGAGAGCCCAGUCAUAUAUGAAGUAAUCCUUUGAUUUGGAUUGGGGAUUACAAUGGGAAAAUCGUCACUCCAGUGGCAAUCUUUGCGAACUAUGGGAGCUAAAAGUUUUGUAAUCAAAGUAGGAAAGCAUCAUCGUGAUCUAGAC